AGAGUUUGAUCCUGGCUCAGGAUGAACGCUGGCGGCGUGCUUAACACAUGCAAGUCGAACGAGCCUUCGGGCUAGUGGCGGACGGGUGAGUAACGCGUGGGAAUCUGCCCUCAGGAGGGGGAUAACGGCCGGAAACGGCCGCUAAUACCCCAUAUGCCGAGAGGUGAAACGAAAUUCGCCUGAGGAUGAGCCCGCGUCUGAUUAGCUAGUUGGUGUGGUAAUGGCUCACCAAGGCUUCGAUCAGUAGCUGGUCUGAGAGGAUGAUCAGCCACACUGGGACUGAGACACGGCCCAGACUCCUACGGGAGGCAGCAGUGGGGAAUUUUCCGCAAUGGGCGCAAGCCUGACGGAGCAACGCCGCGUGAGGGACGAAGGCCUCUGGGCUGUAAACCUCCUUUCUCAAGGAAGAAGACAUGACGGUACUUGAGGAAUAAGCCACGGCUAAUUCCGUGCCAGCAGCCGCGGUAAUACGGGAGUGGCAAGCGUUAUCCGGAAUUAUUGGGCGUAAAGCGUCCGCAGGCGGCCCAGCAAGUCUGUUGUUAAAAAGUGGAGCUCAACUCCAUCCAGGCAAUGGAAACUGCUGGGCUAGAGUGUGGUAGGGGCAGAGGGAAUUCCCGGUGUAGCGGUGAAAUGCGUAGAUAUCGGGAAGAACACCAGUGGCGAAGGCGCUCUGCUGGGCCAUAACUGACGCUCAUGGACGAAAGCCAGGGGAGCGAAAGGGAUUAGAUACCCCUGUAGUCCUGGCCGUAAACGAUGAACACUAGGUGUCGGGGGAAUCGACCCCUUCGGUGUCGUAGCCAACGCGUUAAGUGUUCCGCCUGGGGAGUACGCACGCAAGUGUGAAACUCAAAGGAAUUGACGGGGGCCCGCACAAGCGGUGGAGUAUGUGGUUUAAUUCGAUGCAACGCGAAGAACCUUACCAGGGUUUGACAUCCUGCGAAUCCCUUGGAAACUUGGGAGUGCCUUCGGGAGCGCAGUGACAGGUGGUGCAUGGCUGUCGUCAGCUCGUGUCGUGAGAUGUUGGGUUAAGUCCCGCAACGAGCGCAACCCACGUCUUUAGUUGCCAGCAUUUAGUUGGGCACUCUAGAGAGACCGCCGGUGAUAAACCGGAGGAAGGUGUGGAUGACGUCAAGUCAUCAUGCCCCUUACAUCCUGGGCUACACACGUACUACAAUGCUACGGACAAAGGGCAGCAAACUCGCGAGAGCUAGCAAAUCCCAUAAACCGUGGCUCAGUUCAGAUCGUAGGCUGCAACUCGCCUACGUGAAGGAGGAAUCGCUAGUAAUCGCAGGUCAGCAUACUGCGGUGAAUACGUUCCCGGGCCUUGUACACACCGCCCGUCACACCAUGGAAGUUGGCCAUGCCCAAAGUCGUUACUCCAACCCGUAAGGGAGGAGGACGCCGAAGGUGGGGCUGAUGACUGGGGUGAAGUCGUAACAGGGUA
Molecule: ribosomal RNA, 1444 nt
Filed under: metagenome
Description: bacterial SSU rRNA
Rfam family: Bacterial small subunit ribosomal RNA
Source: RNAcentral